Molecule: ribosomal RNA, 468 nt
Filed under: uncultured bacterium
Lineage: Bacteria
Description: partial 16S ribosomal RNA
Rfam family: Bacterial small subunit ribosomal RNA
Source: RNAcentral
GACGAACGCUGGCGGCGUGCUUAACACAUGCAAGUCGAACGGAAAGGCCCUGCUUUUGUGGGGUGCUCGAGUGGCGAACGGGUGAGUAACACGUGAGUAACCUGCCCUUGACUUUGGGAUAACUUCAGGAAACUGGGGCUAAUCCCGGAUAGGAGCUCCUGCUGCAUGGUGGGGGUUGGAAAGUUUCGGCGGUUGGGGAUGGACUCGCGGCUUAUCAGCUUGUUGGUGGGGUAGUGGCUUACCCAGGCUUUGACGGGUAGCCGGCCUGAGAGGGUGACCGGCCACAUGGGGACUGAGAUACGGCCCAGACGCCUACGGGAGGCAGCAGUGGGGAAUAUGGCACAAUGAGCGGAAGCCUGAGGCAGCAACGCCGCGUGCGGGAUGACGGCCUUCGGGUUGUAAACCGCUUUCGCCUGUGACGAAGCGUGAGUGACGGUAAUGAGUAAAGAAGCACCGGCUAACUACGUG